UGAUUUCUUUUUCUUUUUUUCAGUCAACAAAAUAUUAUAUUUGUAGUCUUUUUCUUAAGUGUAAUUUUCACCUAAGAACUUGUGUACCUUCAUUGUUGUUUAGGUUAUCUCUGGCGAAAACAAGUGCGACCGCGUCUACGGUGUAAAGAGUGGUAUCAAUAUUGUCAACUUCAGCGUUGGUACAAACGAAAUAGUUGUGCGCAUCACCGAUCAUAACGGUUUCUCUUGAUAUCUUUGCAUCUACAAACAAGAAGAAGAAAGGUCGCUGAUAUCCAUGGAUCUCUUCCUCUGUAAUGACGAAGUCGUUAUAGAUAAGCUCCGUCUUGGCCCGCCUUGGUUAGCCAUUUCUACUUUAGAAUGUAGAAGAGAUCAAACGUUUAGGAUACCGUCAACGCUUACGUAAAAAAAUCGAAUUUGAUUUAGAUUUCGAAGAAGGAAAGUCUUGUGAAAUCGUAACUAAUCUAGCAAACGAGAAAAAGAUUAUACAAAACAAAAGGACAAACUCGUGAAAAUAACGAUGACGAAGCUGAGAUUAGUUCCGUCGUAGAUGCUCCUUCUCAAUCGUUCGUGACAAAGGAUAACGGCGACGAGAGAGACGAACGGAACGUUUUGUGAACGUCGUAGAUUCCUCCCGGGAAAAUGAUUCUGUGAUUUUCUGUAAAACGUUUAUCUCCUCCUUUUUGCAAAUUGAGGCAGGCUCUCCUCUUUAUUGUUGGCAAUAUAUUGAUUUCUUAUGUUUCGUAAUUUACUAUUAUAUCCUCCAGUUAAUGACGAGUGACUCCCUCAUAGAUUGGUUUCCUAUUUUCCAAAGGGUGUUGUCGUCAUUAUUAUUAAUGGUGUCAUUACACACGAGUUGAUGAUACUUUCUGGAUUUCAUUUUUAAUUUAUUUUGUUCAAAACUGGAUUUUUCUCACUUUAUUUCUUAUAAAAAUUUUGGACUACAACAGGAAUUUAAAGAUUGUUUUUUUUUUGAGAAAUUGGUAAGAAUGCAUCCAAAAGCUCAUAUAAUUUGCCAUAUACCUUUGUUUCUUGGGAAAAUUAUUUUUUUAGAGCAAAAAAAUGAUAACUAUGUCACUUUAGACUAAUCUCAUAUACUUUAUGUCCCAUUAGGUUAAUUAUUUUUAAAAUAGUAAUAAUAUCCUUAAAAUUGUAAUUUUUAAAUAUAAUAAAUAAUGAAUUCGUUUUUUUUUGGUUUUAAAAAAAAAAUCAAUUUUUUAAAAAAUAUGAAAGUGAAUAUUCCCAAAUAUUAUGUUUCCAUAUUUUAGGAACUGAUUUCUUAUCCGUAGAAUACAGCUAAUCUGUAAAAAUCGGUUUCUACAGGUUUUUAGAAUUAUAGUAAUGUGUAGAUUUUUAUUUCUACAUGUUUUAGAUUUACAGUAAAUCUGUAGAAGUUGGUUUCUACACGUUUUAGAUUUAUACUAAUGUGUAGAUUUUGAUUUCUAAAGAUUUUAGAUCGGUAGGUUAAGCGCGAAAUGUGUAUUCUAAAUACUUUUAGAAUACUCUUAUUUACGUAGAUCACAUAUUCUAAACAUUGUAGAUUCAAUGAAAAAAGUAGAUUUCGUUUUCUACUUCGUAGAAUGUCAUUUCUACUUUAUUUAGAACAUAAUCUGAAAUUUAUGAUUUAAACUUUUUUAGAACUAAAAAAAAUACCACUAAGUUCAUAUAGGUAUUUUAUCAAUAGUUAUCAUUUUCCAAAAAAAGUUUGUUUGUAAAACUAUUUAUUAAAUUUAUUUUCAAAAAUAUUAAAGGGUAUUAUAGACAAAACUUGCACAAAAUAGAUAUUAGUCUAAAAGGACAUAAUUAUCAUUUUUUUGAUCUAAAAAAAACAAUUUUCCCUUGUUUCCUUUUAAUAUUUUUUAUGACUAUAAUACUCUUAUCUCUAUCUCACUCCAUUUUCUCUUUUAUGUGUGUUUAAUCUCUUUAUCUCUCGUAUAGAUUUUUCAAAUCAUCUUCUAAUUCAACGCAAAUCUUUAUUUUUUUAUUCUGAUUCUUUUGACACCCAUAAUGCUAAUUUUAUUAUCUCACCUCAAUUCCAAUGUUUCCAAUUUUGACUCACAAUCAACUUUUAGAUAAUAUAUAUGUUAAUAGGUAUUUUAUUAAUUACCUGAUAUUAUUUAGAUUUCAAUGGAUUCUUAAUCGAUACAUGAAGUGUUAGAUGUUACAAAUAUAUUUGGGGCUAUUUGAUAGAUAACUAAUUAAUUGUUAAUAGUUUCAUUAACUAAUAUAUGAUUUGUUAGUCGAUACAUUUGUUUGAUACAUAUAUUGUUAGAUGAUACUGAAAUUAUUAGUUGAUAUGUUAGUUGGUAUGUAGAUUGUUACCUAGUAUGUAAAUAUUUAGCUGAUAAAUCUAGAGUUUUUUGUUUUCGAUAAAGCAUGAAGGUAUUUUCGUCCGCACAAUGUCAAAAAAUUACUCCAUUUUAGGUUAUCCAUAAUUAUAUGCAUUCAGCUAAUUUGGGCCUUAAUUGAGUAUAUUCCACGCAUUCUCCCCUUUAUUUUUUUACUUAGAACCAGACAAAUUUAAUUAGGAUAGUAGAAUGUAUGUUUAACUUCAAUUUAAAUAAUGUAUCAAACAAACGAUAACUUGUACAUAUAGAAUAUUAAAUUACCCUGUUAUAUAUGGGCCACAAUAAUAAAACAAUAUCAUUAUAUAUGGGCCGAAAAAUCAAAGUAGAAGAAAAUGAAUCUGCUAAAAGCCCACGUACUUCAAAUAUUAAAAUGUAUUUCCACGUGGGUUCCAAAAAUUGGUUGGUUCACCACUCCCAUUUGCUUUCACAUCAGACGAGAAGCUUCGUGUCUAACAAAACAAAACAACCCCAGCUCCGACUCCACUCUCUCUCCCCCUCUUCCUUUUUCGUUUGAGUUUCACUUUUUUCUCUCUCUCUCUCUCUCUCUCAAAAACGAGGAACAUGGCAGAUUGGGGACCAGUUCUGAUAGCCGUGAUCCUAUUCGUAGUGCUAACACCGGGGCUUCUUUUCCAGAUUCCGGCGGGAGGCCGAGUUGUCGAAUUCGGGAAUAUGCAGACGAGCGGCGCUUCUAUUCUCGUCCACGCUAUCAUCUUCUUUGGUCUCAUCACUAUCUUCACCAUCGCCAUCAACGUACACAUCUAUUCCGGUUAACUGUGUUAGCUGAGCUUAUUACUUGUUUACGGAAAGUCUUUUCUUCUCCGCUUCUGUUUGUGCUUUCUAGUUUUUCAAAAAUUGAUGUAAGAUCUGGCAUUUUCGGAUACAUGUGAAUAUAAUCAAAAUUUUCGUAUAUGAUAUAAAAUUCAUUUUGGUAUGGAUCUGGUAUCAGCUGUGGAAUUUGUUUGGGAUCUGGUUUAAUUGGUUCCUUUAUCGAAUGCCACUUGAUAGGUUACAACGUACAAUCAAACUGUUAGUUGAAAAGUCUUUUCACUUCUUAAUUCAAAGCACAAAGCAGAUUGAUCUGUGGACCUCUAAAACGACGCCGUAUCAUCUAUUAUUGGGCUUGUUGUAAUAAGCCCAUUAAAGCCUAAUCUGCAUCUCGUUCUGUUUCAUCCGAGUCUCCCGACGACCGCAUUUCUCCGCACUUUCGUCUUGGCAAAUCUAUCAGCAAUGGCGACUUCAAUAGCUCGAUUCUCUCGGAGAGGAGUAGCUUCUAACCUGAUCCGUCGCUACUUCGCUGCGGAAGCGGCGGUCGCGGUCAAGACAGAGGCGCCGAAGCCACAACUGACGGUGUCGCCGUCGCCGGAUCGUGUGAAGUGGGACUACAGGGGACAGAGACAGAUCAUUCCCUUGGGGCAGUGGCUUCCGAAGGUUGCCGUUGACGCCUACGUGGCACCAAACGUUGUGUUGGCCGGUCAGGUCACAGUCUGGGACGGCUCGUCCGUCUGGAACGGCGCCGUUUUGCGCGGGGAUCUCAACAAAAUCACCCUCGGGUUCUGCUCGAAUGUGCAGGAACGGUGCGUUGUCCAUGCCGCGUGGUCGUCCCCAACAGGUUACUGUUCACUCCAUUCUCAUAAAUUCUAAUUAUCCAAUUUCUGUUAUAGAAUCAAGAUAAUGUUAGACAGGAAUCAAGAAUCUCACUGCUAUGUUGUUGAGCUCAAUAGUAGAGUUUAGUAGAUUAGCACCACAGUCUCUAUGAUCUGAUUGGCUUUUUGAUAUUGAUGAUUCUAGGGUUACUGUCUAUUUUGGAAAUUUUCAGGAUUACCAGCAGAGACGUUGAUCGAUAGAUACGUGACAGUAGGUGCAUACAGUCUUCUGAGAUCAUGUACUAUCGAACCAGAGUGUAUUAUUGGGCAACACUCAAUACUAAUGGAAGGUUCACUGGUUGAGACCCGCUCAAUCCUCGAAGCUGGUUCGGUGGUGCCACCAGGAAGAAGGAUCCCAUCAGGUGAGCUAUGGGGAGGUAAUCCUGCAAGAUUCAUAAGAACUCUAACUAACGAAGAAACCUUAGAGAUUCCGAAACUCGCUGUAGCCAUCAACCACUUAAGCGGAGAUUACUUCUCUGAGUUCCUUCCUUACUCUACUGUCUACUUAGAGGUAGAGAAGUUCAAGAAGUCCCUUGGAAUCAGUGUUUAGAGAUUCAUAAAUCUCUCUUUUCCUCAAAGCUUCUCUUGUGUGCUUCGCGUGCUUACCUGAUAGUACGAGGUCUCUCGUGCAUAAUGCAAUAAGUAGCUGAACAUCAAAACAUUCGAACGCUUGUCUUCUCAUUUUUUUGGUUUCUUUUGUAAGACUCAAAUUUUAAACUGAUUUUGGCUGGAUAAAAGCAAACUAUAUAUAUAAAGUUCUACUUCAGCUAAAAUAGUUUUAGCUCAAGUAAAUUAUUCUUACACACCAUACAUAAGUUUAUAGCAUUCAUGAUGUCUUAAUAAGAUAAGACUAGUUAAGAUUCAUGCUGUCUUCUUAUAAGACAUGACCAGAUGGAUUGUAUUAAAGGCCUGCAUGUUGAACCGAUUCUCAUCACUCUGCCAUUCCUCUUCCUCUUCCAAAACGGGAGAACGUCCGAUAGGUUCAAAGCAAAAAGUUCCUGUGAAUGGUACCCCAGGAAAAUUCUCGUAAAACGGCAUGCAAUCCGUUACUGAAUUCCCAAAAUACUUGUCUCCACGGUUCGAGCUAGCAAACAUGAACCCUCCAAACACUUUCUCUCUGUUUGUUCGGCUACUCGAACCCAACUGGCCGUAAGCUUGAUGAUGACGAGGCGGGGGUUCGACGAGAUGAUGAAAACGGUUGUAAACAUCGUUGCUGGAACCCAUUGCAGAGUCCAUAUCUGAGUGAUAAAACAUACAAAUAUCGCCUGGAUUUAUACCCGUGCCCGCGACACUAAACAUUAUCUGUUGUGUCCUGUUAACAAUCAUUCAUAGUUGAGCAACAAAAUAAAAUUAUAUUUUCAUGAAAAAAUGCUAAAUUGUUGGUGGUUUAUGCAAAAUAAUGCAUAUAAUCUUACCCAAUGACCUCAUAGAACUCUCUAUAUUUUAUGGACGGACCUCCGUCUAGCGGUUCGGUUUCUUUUGAAACACCGAUAUAUAGAAAAUACGGCUUAUCUAUAAUCUGCAAUAUCAUAUGUAAAUCUCAUCGCAGAUUAUGUAUAUAUAUGCAUGAAUUGCAUUCGCAUAGAAGUAUGGAACAUAGAGAUGAUUACCAGUGUAUGAAGAGACAGAAUGAGAUUAUAAGCAUCAAGUGGCCAUACUUCGCCUUGUGUUCUAGCGAAUAACCAUGUUGUUUUUCCCUCGUGCACCAACACGUCGAGUAUCUCUAUUUUUGGACCAAUUGGGAUUAUCCCACUUGAAAUCCCCACGUGAAAUUUGAUUUCCACUGCAUGCAACUAGUAUUUUAGUAUGUGUGAUUUCUUUUUCUUUUUUUCAGUCAACAAAAUAUUAUAUUUGUAGUCUUUUUCUUAAGUGUAAUUUUCACCUAAGAACUUGUGUACCUUCAUUGUUGUUUAGGUUAUCUCUGGCGAAAACAAGUGCGACCGCGUCUACGGUGUAAAGAGUGGUAUCAAUAUUGUCAACUUCAGCGUUGGUACAAACGAAAUAGUUGUGCGCAUCACCGAUCAUAACGGUUUCUCUUG
This 6027-nucleotide long non-coding RNA is filed under the name Brassica napus (rape). Its description in RNAcentral is "long non-coding RNA (BNAP_LNC005298)". Lineage: Eukaryota; Viridiplantae; Streptophyta; Magnoliopsida; Brassicales; Brassicaceae. The record is from RNAcentral.